CGCACAACGGGAACGCGCAGGGAGCGACGUCGCUUCACAAACAGGAGGGGGCGCUUUAACACUGAAGGCUGCUUUUGUGAACACAGGUAGCUCAGACGGACUUGUUCCACAGUAACAGAUCACAGGAUUCAUGUUCUGGAAGUUGUUCAUGGCCAUUCAUCAGCACAGACAUGAACCUAUCUGAAGAGGCUCUGACCUCCACUUACCCAGGAUAAUUAACUUCCAGGAGGAGUGUUUACAGACAUGUGACAAAGGAGAUGUUUGCACCUUUCUGCUGCUGCUGGAGAGAAAACACAGUUGAGACAGAGCUCUCCAGAUGAGCUGUGUGAAUCACAUGUGUCAGCUCUGUAUUCAGUGCUCAUGAGUCUCUCCAUGCACCCUGCCUGCUUGCCUAUGCAGAGCGGCACAGAUGGGCGUGUUGGGGGAUGGGUGCUGUCAGCUCACAGAUCAAGCUGUGGGUCGGUGGUCCCAUUGCUAUUCACCACAUAAGCACGUAGGGCAUGUCAGACACGCUCCAUGGAGACAUACCAGGGGUGGAGAUUGUGUUUUGGUUUUAAUGCUGCUGCAGUGACCACCACAUGGGUUAGGAAUAUUAACAGAGGAACCGGCUUUCUGCUGAGGACAUCAGAGAGAAACACUCUGCAAUGGGGCAAAUAUUCUGCUGAUAAAGCAUAUUAAAUAUUUGACACACUUACAGUUCUUCUCUUUCAACUGCACAUUUUAGGAGUUACCCAUAAGU
Molecule: long non-coding RNA, 739 nt
Organism: Notolabrus celidotus (New Zealand spotty)
Lineage: Eukaryota; Metazoa; Chordata; Actinopteri; Labriformes; Labridae
Exons: 3
Source: RefSeq, a predicted model, not a curated record